Molecule: long non-coding RNA, 1734 nt
Organism: Pistacia vera
Lineage: Eukaryota; Viridiplantae; Streptophyta; Magnoliopsida; Sapindales; Anacardiaceae
Exons: 4
Source: RefSeq, a predicted model, not a curated record
CGGUUUUUUGAACCCUAAACCCAAAAUUCACUCUCCAUUCGCUCAAAUAUUCACUCUCUUCUCUGCAACCUUCACUCUUCUCAUACAAAUUGAUCGAAACUUCUCUGGUUCUUCUCUCUUCUUGCACAAAUCAAUCGAAUCACAAAUCGAUUGAAGAAACCACUCAAUCGCACAAAUCUUCUGUAGCCUUCGAUCUCUCCGGACUCCACUAUCGAAGGGAAGAGAUAAAGACCAAGAAUGUUAUCAUCUGGGUCUACGCAUCAUUCUACGUCCAUGGGUGCUUUCUCACAAUCUGUUCGAGGAAAGAAUGAUGUUGCAUGGGCACAUGUUGAUAGCCUUGAUGGAAAUGGAAGAAGGAUAUUAACAUGUUUAUAUUGUGGCAAGACAAUUAGAGGUGGAGGUAUUUAUCGAAUGAAACUACAUCUCGUGGGAAUAAAGGGGGAUGUUGGAAAGUGCUCAAAAGUUCCCUAUGAUGUUGCAUUCCAAAUGCGAGAGGCAAUAAAAGAAACUGGGGAAAAAAUAAAGAAAAAGUUGAGUUUCGCAUGCAAAUCCUUAUGGUGCUGUUGUAUAUGGGUUUGAGGGUGACAUGAAUGGUGAAACUUGUCAAGAGGUCCCUCUAUCAGAAAUGACCAUUAAUGAAGGUGAUUCGGGAUAUAAAAAACAAUGUACAAACACUAAGAGAAAUAGACCGAUUGGGAUUGGUGAUUAUUUUGCUCCACAGACUACUGUUGGGUCUCAGCCCUCAAUUAGGAUUGUUUUGGUGAGAAAAGAAGCUAAAUGGAGAACAGACAUGGCUUUUGCAGGUUCUUUUAUGAUUCUUGCAUCCCAAUGAAUGCUGUGAAUUCAGUUUAUCUCCAUCCUUGAUGCUAUUGAGAGGAAAGCAAGUAUGUUUAACGUGAGCAAGUCAAAGUUAGUGGAUGAUAGUGGGAUAUUUCGAGACCGUGAGGAAAGCUUUUCUCGUGAACUUGCCCUUCAAACCUCCAAAACCACAUGACCUGAUACGUAAUAGUUAUUAAUUUCUCAGUUUUAAACUUCUAAUUUUAAGUCCGAUUUCUGAGUUAUGACUUAUGAGAUUAAUACGUUUAUUUCUUAUGCCUAAUUUGCAAUUAGGUGAAUGAUGGAGGACAUAUGGGUAUAGUAUUCCUAUUUUUCAGAAGUUUUCAAUUCAAAUUCUAAGCCAAACUUCAACCUCUUCAGGGUGUGAGCGAAUUUGGAGUGUUUUUGAACACAUACAUUCAAAGAAGCAAAAUAGAUUGGAGCAUCGAUGGUUAAAUGAUCUUGUUUUUGUUGAUUACAAAUUGCAUUUGAAAAAUAGGAGGUUUUACAAGAAAUUAAAAUGAGUGUUGAUCAUAUUGAUUAUGAAAAUAUAGAUAAAACUAAAUUUUGGAUGGUUGACGAUGAAGAGGAGAAUGGUGAUCUUAAUUAUUAAGAAUUGGAACAAACACUUUAUGGAGAAAGAUUUAUUCUUGUCGGUGUCGGUGAUCAUUAUGAAUAUAAUUCAAACUUAGGAAAUGCUUCACAAGAUGGUGAUGAUGAUGAUGAUAUUAAUGCAGAGCAAAAUCAAUAAAUGAUGGAAUUGAAUAUCUUUUUGUUUAUGUAUUUGAUAUAGAUCAUAAUUGUAAUGGAAGUCUUUUUGAUGGAUUUGAUAUUCAUAUUUUGUUGAAUGUUUAUGUAUUUGAUGUAAUCAGUAGUAAACUUUGGUUAUAUGAUUCUAAUGGAAUUUUUUUUUUUUAA